Molecule: unclassified non-coding RNA, 336 nt
Filed under: soil metagenome
Description: partial contains 5.8S ribosomal RNA, internal transcribed spacer 2, and large subunit ribosomal RNA
Rfam family: 5.8S ribosomal RNA (bases 1-120)
Source: RNAcentral
GAUGAAGAACGCAGCGAAAUGCGAUAAGUAAUGUGAAUUGCAGAAUUCAGUGAAUCAUCGAAUCUUUGAACGCACAUUGCGCCCGCCAGUAUUCUGGCGGGCAUGCCUGUUCGAGCGUCAUUUCAACCAUCAAGCCCCCGGCUUGUGUUGGGGACCUGUGGCUGCCGCAGGCCCUGAAAAGCAGUGGCGGGCUCGCUGUCACACCGAGCGUAGUAGCAUACAUCUCGCUCUGGGCGUGCUGCGGGUUCCGGCCGUUAAACCACCUUCAUAACCCAAGGUUGACCUCGGAUCAGGUAGGAAGACCCGCUGAACUUAAGCAUAUCAAUAAGCGGAGGA